Molecule: ribosomal RNA, 506 nt
Filed under: uncultured bacterium
Lineage: Bacteria
Description: partial 16S ribosomal RNA
Rfam family: Bacterial small subunit ribosomal RNA
Source: RNAcentral
AGUGAACGCUGGCGGUAGGCCUAACACAUGCAAGUCGAACGGCAGCACAGGAGAGCUUGCUCUCUGGGUGGCGAGUGGCGGACGGGUGAGGAAUACAUCGGAAUCUACUCUGUCGUGGGGGAUAACGUAGGGAAACUUACGCUAAUACCGCAUACGACCUACGGGUGAAAGCAGGGGACCUUCGGGCCUUGCGCGAUUGAAUGAGCCGAUGUCGGAUUAGCUAGUUGGCGGGGUAAAGGCCCACCAAGGCGACGAUCCGUAGCUGGUCUGAGAGGAUGAUCAGCCACACUGGAACUGGGACACGGUCCAGACUCCUACGGGAGGCAGCAGUGGGGAAUAUUGGAGGAGGGGCGCAAGCCUGAUCCAGCCAUACCGCGUGGGUGAAGAAGGCCUUCGGGUUGUAAAGCCCUUUUGUUGGGAAAGAAAUCCAGCUGGCUAAUACCCGGUUGGGAUGACGGUACCCAAAGAAUAAGCACCGGCUAACUUCGUGCCAGCCGCCGCAGUAA